GAGUGGCGGACGGGUGAGUAACACGUGGGUAACCUGCCCUAAAGUGGGGGAUAACAUUUGGAAACAGAUGCUAAUACCGCAUAAAACCUAACACCGCAUGGUGUAGGGUUGAAAGAUGGUUUCGGCUAUCACUUUAGGAUGGACCCGCGGUGCAUUAGUUAGUUGGUGAGGUAAAGGCUCACCAAGACCGUGAUGCAUAGCCGACCUGAGAGGGUAAUCGGCCACACUGGGACUGAGACACGGCCCACACUCCUACGGGAGGCAGCAGUAGGGAAUCUUCCACAAUGGACGAAAGUCUGAUGGAGCAACGCCGCGUGAGUGAAGAAGGUUUUCGGAUCGUAAAACUCUGUUGUUGGAAAAGAAUGUAUCUGAUAGUAACUGAUCAGGUAGUGACGGUAUCCAACCAGAAAGCCACGGCUAACUACGUGCCAGCAGCCGCGGUAAUACGUAGGUGGCAAGCGUUGUCCGGAUUUAUUGGGCGUAAAGCGAGCGCAGGCGGUUUCUUAAGUCUGAUGUGAAAGCCUUCGGCUCAACCGAAGAAGUGCAUCGGAAACUGGGAAACUUGAGUGCAGAAGAGGACAGUGGAACUCCAUGUGUAGCGGUGAAAUGCGUAGAUAUAUGGAAGAACACCAGUGGCGAAGGCGGCUGUCUGGUCUGUAACUGACGCUGAGGCUCGAAAGCAUGGGUAGCAAACAGGAUUAGAUACCCUGGUAGUCCAUGCCGUAAACGAUGAGUGCUAGGUGUUGGAGGGUUUCCGCCCUUCAGUGCCGCAGCUAACGCAUUAAGCACUCCGCCUGGGGAGUACGACCGCAAGGUUGAAACUCAAAGGAAUUGACGGGGGCCCGCACAAGCGGUGGAGCAUGUGGUUUAAUUCGAAGCAACGCGAAGAACCUUACCAGGUCUUGACAUCCUUUGACCACUCUAGAGAUAGAGCUUUCCCUUCGGGGACAAAGUGACAGGUGGUGCAUGGUUGUCGUCAGCUCGUGUCGUGAGAUGUUGGGUUAAGUCCCGCAACGAGCGCAACCCUUAUUACUAGUUGCCAGCAUUUAGUUGGGCACUCUAGUGAGACUGCCGGUGACAAACCGGAGGAAGGUGGGGACGACGUCAAAUCAUCAUGCCCCUUAUGACCUGGGCUACACACGUGCUACAAUGGAUGGUACAACGAGUUGCGAGACCGCGAGGUUUAGCUAAUCUCUUAAAACCAUUCUCAGUUCGGAUUGUAGGCUGCAACUCGCCUACAUGAAGCCGGAAUCGCUAGUAAUCGCGGAUCAGCAUGCCGCGGUGAAUACGUUCCCGGGCCUUGUACACACCGCCCGUCACACCAUGAGAGUUUGUAACACCCAAAGCCGGU
Molecule: ribosomal RNA, 1351 nt
Filed under: Lactobacillus sp. VM9
Lineage: Bacteria; Bacillati; Bacillota; Bacilli; Lactobacillales; Lactobacillaceae
Description: 16S ribosomal RNA
Rfam family: Bacterial small subunit ribosomal RNA
Source: RNAcentral